RNAcentral lists this ribosomal RNA (292 nucleotides) under uncultured bacterium. RNAcentral describes it as "partial 16S ribosomal RNA". It matches the Rfam family "Bacterial small subunit ribosomal RNA", at positions 505 to 796 of the family's 1533-position model. The record is from RNAcentral.
GUGUCAGCCGCCGCGGUAAUACGUAGGGGGCAAGCGUUGUCCGGAAUUAUUGGGCGUAAAGCGCGUGUAGGCGGUCCGGUAAGUCGGCUGUGAAAGUCAGAGGCUCAACCUCUGAAAGCCGGUCGAUACUGUCGGGCUAGAGUCCGGAAGAGGCGAGUGGAAUUCCUGGUGUAGCGGUGAAAUGCGCAGAUAUCAGGAGGAACACCAAUGGCGAAGGCAGCUCGCUGGGACGGUACUGACGCUGAGACGCGAAAGCGUGGGGAGCAAACAGGAUUAGAAACCCUCGUAGUCC